This is a long non-coding RNA of Megalobrama amblycephala (Wuchang bream), 1360 nucleotides long. RefSeq lists it as uncharacterized. The transcript is spliced from 3 exons. NCBI's taxonomy places the organism in Eukaryota, Metazoa, Chordata, Actinopteri, Cypriniformes, Xenocyprididae. The record is from RefSeq and is a predicted model, not a curated record.
CUGAACAAUCCCAUCAGCAACCAGACUCAACAUCUGGACAUCACUCACCUCUGUCACACAUGUUCAGAUCAAGGUCUACCUUUAUUGUACAUAGUUCUGAUCUCUGCUGCUGGAUCUCUGUUGAUUGUAGCUGUGGUUGGGAUGUUCUGGAUCUGCAAGAAAUAUAGAAAAACAGUCAAAACCCAGGAGGAAGACAGAACUGAUUCACCAGUGCUUAAAACAACAACACGGAAAAUGGUAAGAUGUUGCAAGAAGUUGUUGCAGUCAGUUAGUUUGAAGUUUGCAGCAUCAGACGUGUGUGGUUUAUCAACGCUGUCAUUAAUGUUCCUGUGGUUUAUAUUCUGAGCUGAAAUGUAGUAUUAGCAUCCGCUGGUUUCUUAGUAAACAUACUGCAAAAGUAUCUUUGAUGAUGCUUUUGUGUGAAAGACAGUUAUUCUCAGAGCAGAGGCUGUCGAGACGAAACUUCAGAAAUUAAAUACUCUGUUUGAUGAUUUACACGGUGUGUGUGUUCACUAUGUGUGUGUGUACUUGGAUGGCUUAAAUGCAGAGCACAAAUUGCAGGUAUGGGACACCAUGCUUGGCCACACAUCACGUCAAAUUCACUUUUUUUUUUUUUUUUUUUACUUUCAACUGUUUAAAAAGUCAUGAUUGAGGUCAUUUCCUCCAUGUAUUCUUAUCAUCUGUCCUGUAUGGUAGUUUUUCAAAACAAAAAAAGGUUAUUCAGACAGAAACAUCUUCUAUUAAUUUUCUAUCAAUUCGUCAGGUUCCUGACUGAGUGUAUUUUUCCUUUCAGAAAUCAAAGAUGGAGCCUGUGUAUGAAAAUGUCUCCAAAAAACGAUGAUCAAACAUUAUAUCUAUACUGAGAUUUUUGUUAUAGAUUAUAAAUAUAACACACUUUUGGUUUUGUUCACAUUUAUUCUGUGCCAGGAUGUCUACAUUUUGUUUUCACCCUUUGUAUCAUAUAUUUUUGUGUUAUUGCAAUGUCUGAAAUUGUGUUUUAAUUAUAAUAACAUACAAAAACUCAACUAAAAUGUUCUAUUUUAAGUUUAUCAUUUAAUUCAUGACAUGGAGGUAAAGAACUGCCUGAAGCAAAGUGCAUGAAAAUAAUUUAAUGCAGAGUUAGCCGUGGAUUAUCCCACUUAUGCCAUGUUAAUUUGCCAGCACUUAAAACUUAAAAGCAGUUAUUAAAGAGCACCUAUUAUACCCUUUUUCACAAUUUGUAAUAUAAGUCCCUGAUGUCCCCAGAAAUACCCCACAGAUCAUUUAUUAUCAAAUUUACCCCUAUUUGAGUGUGAGCAAAAACACACGGUUAAUUGUGUGUCCCUUUGAGCUUUAACAGCUCACACUUUGCAUACUCAAC